GACAUCAGAAUACAACUCAAUGCACCUCACGCCAUUAGACAGCAUGAGUGACCAGCCACAGGGAGGAUAUAUCAGACAGCACCAGAUCUUAGCUGGUAGGAAGCUGAUUGACAAGUUCUGUGGAGGACAGAGCAGCAGAGCCCUGAAGUCCACAGUAAUAAGGGGAAGAUGGUGUUCUAGACACACCAGCAGGGAAGAGCCAAACCUGGAUGGUCAGUUUGACCUCCCAGGGUAAGGAGCCUCUGGGUCUUCUCUACCUCUCCCAGGACCACCACAGUGAAACUAGAGCCAGAGGGUUCUUUGCUGAAAAGAGGGUGAGGGAGAUGGAGAGAUGCAGAUGAGAGGAGGCUUUGUGCAGAAGCCAUCAGGUUUUGCCAUAUCUAAAGCCUGGAAAAAGGAGGAUACCAGCUGAUAGGAUUUGGCUCUAUGUCCCCAACCAAAUCUCAUGUGGCAUUGUAAUCCCCACGUGUUGGAGGAGGGACCUGGUGAGAGGUGAUUGGAUCAUGGGGGCAGUUUUAAUGGUUUAGUGCCAUCCCCCUAGUGCUGUCUCCCGAUGGAAUUCUCAUGCGAUCUGGUUGUUUAAAAGUGUGUAGACUUCUCCCUUCUUCUCUUUCUCCUGCUGCCAUGUGAAGAAGGUCCUUGCUUCCCCUUCGCCUUCUGCCAUGAUUAUAAGCUUCCUGAGGCCUCCCAGUCAUGCUUCCUGUUAAGCCCGCAGAACUGUGAGUCAAUUAAACUUCUUCUCUUCAUGAA
RNAcentral lists this long non-coding RNA (750 nucleotides) under Pan troglodytes (chimpanzee). RNAcentral describes it as "lincRNA". The record is from RNAcentral. Lineage: Eukaryota; Metazoa; Chordata; Mammalia; Primates; Hominidae.